UACCGAGGUCUCAAGCGUUGUUCGGAUUUACUGGGCGUAAAGGGCGCGUAGGCGGCGCGAUAAGUUGGGCGUGAAAGGCCCGGGCUCAACCCGGGGACUGCGCUUGAUACUGUCGCGCUGUGAGUCCGGGAGAGGAUGGCGGAAUUCCCAGUGUAGAGGUGAAAUUCGUAGAUAUUGGGAAGAACACCGGUGGCGAAGGCGGCCAUCUGGACCGGCACUGACGCUGAGGCGCGAAAGCGUGGGGAGCAAACAGG
RNAcentral lists this ribosomal RNA (254 nucleotides) under uncultured bacterium. Its description in RNAcentral is "partial 16S ribosomal RNA". It matches the Rfam family "Bacterial small subunit ribosomal RNA", at positions 524 to 776 of the family's 1533-position model. The record is from RNAcentral.